CCUACGGGAGGCUGCAGUGAGGAAUCUUGGUCAAUGGGCGCGAGCCUGAACCAGCCAAGUAGCGUGAAGGAUGACUGCCCUACGGGUUGUAAACUUCUUUUAUAAAGGAAUAAAGUGAGGCACGUUUGCCUUUUUGGAUGUACUUUAUGAAUAAGGAUCGGCUCACUCCGUGCGAGCAGCCGCGGUAAUACGGAGGCUCCGAGCGUUAUCCGGAUUUAUUUGGUUUAAAGGGAGAGUAGAUGGGUUGUUAAGUCAGUUGUGAAAGUUUGCGGCUCAACCGUAAAAUUGCAAUUGAUACUGGCAGUCUUGAGUACAGUUGAGGUAGGCGGAAUUCGUGGUGUAGCGGUGAAAUGCUUAGAUAUCACGAAGAACUCCGAUUGCGAAGGCAGCUUACUAAACUGCCACUGACAUUGAUGCUCGAAAGUGUGGGUAUCAAACAGGAUUAGAUACCCGGGUAGUC
RNAcentral lists this ribosomal RNA (460 nucleotides) under uncultured bacterium. Its description in RNAcentral is "partial 16S ribosomal RNA". It matches the Rfam family "Bacterial small subunit ribosomal RNA", at positions 338 to 795 of the family's 1533-position model. The record is from RNAcentral.